Molecule: ribosomal RNA, 502 nt
Filed under: Cronobacter sakazakii
Lineage: Bacteria; Pseudomonadati; Pseudomonadota; Gammaproteobacteria; Enterobacterales; Enterobacteriaceae
Description: bacterial SSU rRNA
Rfam family: Bacterial small subunit ribosomal RNA
Source: RNAcentral
GCUAAUACCGCAUAACGUCUUCGGACCAAAGUGGGGGACCUUCGGGCCUCAUGCCAUCAGAUGUGCCCAGAUGGGAUUAGCUAGUAGGUGGGGUAACGGCUCACCUAGGCGACGAUCCCUAGCUGGUCUGAGAGGAUGACCAGCCACACUGGAACUGAGACACGGUCCAGACUCCUACGGGAGGCAGCAGUGGGGAAUAUUGCACAAUGGGCGCAAGCCUGAUGCAGCCAUGCCGCGUGUAUGAAGAAGGCCUUCGGGUUGUAAAGUACUUUCAGCGGGGAGGAAGGUGUUGUGGUUAAUAACCACAGCAAUUGACGUUACCCGCAGAAGAAGCACCGGCUAACUCCGUGCCAGCAGCCGCGGUAAUACGGAGGGUGCAAGCGUUAAUCGGAAUUACUGGGCGUAAAGCGCACGCAGGCGGUUGAUUAAGUCAGAUGUGAAAUCCCCGGGCUCAACCUGGGAACUGCAUUUGAAACUGGUCAGCUUGAGUCUCGUAGAGGGG